AGGAGGAUGGGAGAGGGAGGUGU
RNAcentral lists this microRNA (23 nucleotides) under Mus musculus (house mouse). RNAcentral describes it as "mmu-miR-7011-5p". The record is from miRBase by way of RNAcentral. Lineage: Eukaryota; Metazoa; Chordata; Mammalia; Rodentia; Muridae.